Long non-coding RNA from Helianthus annuus (common sunflower), 369 nucleotides. RefSeq lists it as uncharacterized. The record is from RefSeq and is a predicted model, not a curated record. NCBI's taxonomy places the organism in Eukaryota, Viridiplantae, Streptophyta, Magnoliopsida, Asterales, Asteraceae. The transcript has 2 exons.
AACUAAUGGCUGUCACAUCAAAACACUUUCUUGUGUUGAGAUUUUUGAUGUUGGCAUUUCUUUUCAUGACUUUUGUUCCAUGUUAUGCUCCUGGUCCAGCAUGUCUAGGAGAUUGUAAUGCAAUAAAGGAGGAUUGCUUAACUCUUUGCCAAAGACUACACUUUGGAACUGGUUCUUGCAUAGGAAAUCCAUCUAGGUGUUGCUGUCAUAAUUAGUUUAUUUAUUUAAACGUUGGUAGUACUCCCCACACCACUAAGUUAGUUGUUGUCUCGUGUAAACAAUUUCACGAGGAUUUUGAUUUUAAUAAAACUACCAAAGUCGAAAAUGAAUUAUCCCUAUAUCCUCGAAGUUCUUCAUCUUAUUAUUUUU